RNAcentral lists this ribosomal RNA (430 nucleotides) under Tantilla supracincta. RNAcentral describes it as "partial 16S ribosomal RNA". It matches the Rfam family "Bacterial large subunit ribosomal RNA", at positions 1952 to 2594 of the family's 2925-position model. The record is from RNAcentral. Lineage: Eukaryota; Metazoa; Chordata; Lepidosauria; Squamata; Colubridae.
AAAGGUAGCAUAAUCAUUUGUCUAUUAAUUAUAGACCUGUAUGAAAGGCAAAAUGAGGGCCUAACUGUCUCUUAUAAUAAAUCAAUUAAACUGAUCCCCUAGUAAAAAAGCUAGAAUCCUACCACAAGACCAGAAGACCCUGUGAAGCUUAAACUAAACUAUCAAACCCCAUAAUAGCUAAUUUCGGUUGGGGCGACCUUGGAAAAAAAAAGAACUUCCAAAUACAAUGACUCCCACAUAUAAAACCAGGCCGACAGGCCACUUAAUGACCCAGCUAAGACUGAUAAAUGAACCAAGUUACUCCAGGGAUAACAGCGCAAUCUUCUUUAAGAGCCCAUAUCAAAAAGAAGGUUUACGACCUCGAUGUUGGAUCAGGACAUCCUAAUGGUGCAGAAGCUAUUAAGGGUUCGUUUGUUCAACAAUUAAUAGU